Molecule: unclassified non-coding RNA, 132 nt
Filed under: soil metagenome
Description: partial internal transcribed spacer 1
Source: RNAcentral
CUGGGUGGCUUCGGCCUAAACCCCCCAACCAUUGUGAACGAUACCAGUUGCUUAGCUGGUGGCGGCGGACAGCUGCCCUGGCGGCAACGAGACUCUUCUAAUGUCAUCUCUGAGUUACUUUUAAAUAAGUCA